GAGUACUCGGCUUUUA
RNAcentral lists this transfer RNA (16 nucleotides) under Disporum viridescens. RNAcentral's name for it is "partial tRNA-Lys". The record is from RNAcentral. Lineage: Eukaryota; Viridiplantae; Streptophyta; Magnoliopsida; Liliales; Colchicaceae. RNAcentral also lists the same sequence under 2 other names.